Molecule: ribosomal RNA, 37 nt
Filed under: Trichoderma sp. PPc5-A(1) Fr
Lineage: Eukaryota; Fungi; Ascomycota; Sordariomycetes; Hypocreales; Hypocreaceae
Description: partial 17S ribosomal RNA
Source: RNAcentral
AAAAAGUCGUAACAAGGUCUCCGUUGGUGAACCAGCG